This is a long non-coding RNA of Ctenopharyngodon idella (grass carp), 1240 nucleotides long. RefSeq lists it as uncharacterized. The transcript has 3 exons. The record is from RefSeq and is a predicted model, not a curated record. Lineage: Eukaryota; Metazoa; Chordata; Actinopteri; Cypriniformes; Xenocyprididae.
AUGGAUGAAGUCACGGUUCAAAUGUUCUCUUGUCAUGUCAAAAGUGCUGAGACUUUUCAGUUUUAUGGACAUCGCCAUCUUUAAUUAUUACGUUGGUCACUGUCGUUAUGGUUACUAGUAAGAGAAUACGGGCUUGACUCUUGCUGCACGUUCACGUGUACACAGUGUUGAGUAUCUUGAAUGGCCCAGUUAUGAUCCACCUUCAUUGUAUAAAACAUGCCAUUUUCAUGGACAUCUCCUUAUGUGUUCAGUGAAAGAAAGACAUACUGUACAGGUUUGGAACGACAUGAAGGUGACUCCAGCACUGGACUGUAUCUGCAGCCUCUUUGCAAACAGCCUUGAUCUUGAUCCUUAACCAUCAAGCUACCUCAACAUCAGAUGAGUAGGAUGUGUGUGGAUGUUUUACCCUUUCUUUUAUCGCUAACAAGCCUGUCACUUCCACAUUUAAAUGUGUUUGUUUUUGCUUCUGCCUUUGUAAGAGUGUGACCGUGAGAGAGAUGGGAUUUUAACACUCAUAGAUUGUUAUUAUUUGCGGUGAGUGAUGAUGACAGUUCUUUGAGGGAGUGAAAUUUGCGUUGUAUGAACUAUCUGUAUUCAUUCCGCUUAAUACAUACAGUUUGUGUUUAUCUGAAAACCAACAGCAUUAUACUGUAUCUACUGACUCUAAUGGACUCUUUUUGGAAGAAGGAUACUGCUGAGUGGCCUCUUCAAAUCAGCAUUGCAAAACAGCCCUCUAUACACAGAAUACAGGCCGACGAGAGACAAUUACUGCAUUCCAGCAGAGUGGCUGAGUGAAACCAGAACUUAUCACACGAUCAUGGCAGAGCCAAUAUCAGGAGUGAUGAGCGCAUCCAUGAGAAAAUAGAAAGGCAAUUAUAUCAUUUAAGAGGGCAUAAUGUUUUUUUUCUGCUACUGUUUCUCCUCUCAUAGUCCAAGAAUAAGGGUCCCUGAUGUGAGAUACCACUUUAGCCUGAGGGAAUGGUCACUUUCACAGUGAAAAUGUGAGUUAUGAGUGUGUCAAUUUGUGCACACAAAAUGCUCCACACAAUUCUAAAUUCUGUCAUUCAGAAAGGACAGUCUCAUAACGCAAAAGUCACUUUCGUUACAUUCAGAGGAUUCCGUCAAACAAUGGAAAGCUUUGGAUAUUAUCAUGUGACUGAAUGAUGGAAAACACAAAGUGUGUUUAACCGCAAUAUAAUUUAUUAACUUAUGUUUAGGUUGAUUGUUAUGAUUGUAUUUG